CUCGUCUAUCUCUCUCUCUAUCAGCUCACGCCUUCUCUUCUCUCGACGAUGACUUGGUGGCGAUGGAGGGAGCUUAGUGGCAGCGUUGCGACGGAGGGUGAGAGGGCAGCGAUGAUCGCCACCGGCCGGCGUAGGAAGUCUUUUGCGGCGUAGAAAGAGAGAUCUGCGAAGAACGGAGGGUGAGAGAUCUGCGACGAACGGAGGGUGAGAGAUCUGCGACAGAGGGGGAGAGAUCUGCGACGGAGGAAUAGGAUACUUGUUGAUUUGUGAAGUUCUUUAAGAUGACAACUGAAGAAGUUGGAUGUGAGCAAGAUAAUUCGUUCCCUGAUGGCUUCAACGUCAAUUAUCUCAAAGUUUAUUACGGGAUUUGUUACAGCUGGGGUGUUGCCAACAUUGAGUGGAGAUAGGGUUUAUGGUGACAACUCUUGUUUUUGUUACUGUUGGGGUCAUUGUGUCUCUUUGUGCUACAAUCUGCUACAACAGAGGGCCCUCCACAAAGCUACUUGGUACUUUCAAAUAAGCUAGUCCUCUAUGAUCUUGAAAGUCAGGCCAUUGGAUGGACAAAAUAUAACUGUAAGAUAUUUCCUAUUCAAUACAUUACUUUGUCUUUGUUUUAGUUAGAUCAUAUAGUUCCCCAGUACAUGGUCUAUAUUUCUCCAUUUCUUUUCCUGUCAAUCCUGCUUUUACUACCUUAUCAUUGUUUAUUUGAUUUCUUUCUAUGUUUCUGUGGAGAUUCAUCUUGUUGGCAAGAACUUUAAAUGAGGAUGAAAGGGAUCUGCAGCUCUCUGUAAAUUAUCUUUUGUUUUUAUGUCUGAUUUUUUAAGAGAAACUGGUUUUUCUUCACCCAUAUGUUAUAUUGAAGAAUUGUAUGUAUUUUUGUUGUAAAUUUUAUCAAGGAGCUGGUUAGUAUGGUUACUAGAAA
Molecule: long non-coding RNA, 922 nt
Organism: Ipomoea triloba (trilobed morning glory)
Lineage: Eukaryota; Viridiplantae; Streptophyta; Magnoliopsida; Solanales; Convolvulaceae
Exons: 4
Source: RefSeq, a predicted model, not a curated record